Anas platyrhynchos (mallard) is the source of this 385-nucleotide non-coding RNA. NCBI's taxonomy places the organism in Eukaryota, Metazoa, Chordata, Aves, Anseriformes, Anatidae. The record is from RefSeq and is a predicted model, not a curated record.
UUGAGGGGUGGGUGCUAAUGCUGGUAGCUGAAUGAUUAUCUUCUGACUGUUUUCAUUUGUUAAAGCUGAAACACAGUGUACAACACGGGACUUGACGACCAGAGCUGCUUUUGGCAAGAGGUGUUGUAGCUGGCCUAAGAGAGCAGAUGGAAGCAUCUGCCUUGAGGGCAGGUGAGGGGGCAGAGGUGUCUCGCACAGGCUCAGAGGGGCCAAGCUGCACUCUGAAGAGCAGCACAAGAAGGGCGGUCUGGUCACGAGCUGGGUUGGAGCAGAUGUAGUGGGUUUACGUGGAAAAGUUUUGGUAGCAGGGGGCCAUAGGGGUGGUUUCUGUGAGAAAGAUCUAGAAGCUGCCCCAUGUUUGGGAAGGGCCCCAUUGUUUUCCAGA